GAGUUUGAUCGUGGCUCAGAUUGAACGCUGGCGGCAGGCCUAACACAUGCAAGUCGAGCGGUAGAGAGAAGCUUGCUUCUCUUGAGAGCGGCGGACGGGUGAGUAAUGCCUAGGAAUCUGCCUGGGUAGUGGGGGAUAACGUUCGGAAACGGACGCUAAUACCGCAUACGUCCUACGGGAGAAAGCAGGGGACCUUCGGGCCUUGCGCUAUCAGAUGAGCCUAGGUCGGAUUAGCUAGUUGGUGAGGUAAUGGCUCACCAAGGCGACGAUCCGUAACUGGUCUGAGAGGAUGAUCAGUCACACUGGAACUGAGACACGGUCCAGACUCCUACGGGAGGCAGCAGUGGGGAAUAUUGGACAAUGGGCGAAAGCCUGAUCCAGCCAUGCCGCGUGUGUGAAGAAGGUCUUCGGAUUGUAAAGCACUUUAAGUUGGGAGGAAGGGUUGUAGAUUAAUACUCUGCAAUUUUGACGUUACCGACAGAAUAAGCACCGGCUAACUCUGUGCCAGCCC
This 511-nucleotide ribosomal RNA is filed under the name uncultured microorganism. RNAcentral's name for it is "bacterial SSU rRNA". It matches the Rfam family "Bacterial small subunit ribosomal RNA", at positions 9 to 514 of the family's 1533-position model. The record is from RNAcentral.